Molecule: ribosomal RNA, 741 nt
Filed under: Rothia mucilaginosa
Lineage: Bacteria; Bacillati; Actinomycetota; Actinomycetes; Micrococcales; Micrococcaceae
Description: bacterial SSU rRNA
Rfam family: Bacterial small subunit ribosomal RNA
Source: RNAcentral
GACGAACGCUGGCGGCGUGCUUAACACAUGCAAGUCGAACGAUGAAGCCUAGCUUGCUAGGUGGAUUAGUGGCGAACGGGUGAGUAAUACGUGAGUAACCUACCUUUAACUCUGGGAUAAGCCUGGGAAACUGGGUCUAAUACCGGAUACGACCGAUCUCCGCAUGGGGUGUUGGUGGAAAGCGUUAUGUAGUGGUUAUAGAUGGGCUCACGGCCUAUCAGCUUGUUGGUGAGGUAACGGCUCACCAAGGCGACGACGGGUAGCCGGCCUGAGAGGGUGACCGGCCACACUGGGACUGAGACACGGCCCAGACUCCUACGGGAGGCAGCAGUGGGGAAUAUUGCACAAUGGGCGCAAGCCUGAUGCAGCGACGCCGCGUGAGGGAUGACGGCCUUCGGGUUGUAAACCUCUGUUAGCAGGGAAGAAGAGAAAUUGACGGUACCUGCAGAGAAAGCGCCGGCUAACUACGUGCCAGCAGCCGCGGUAAUACGUAGGGCGCGAGCGUUGUCCGGAAUUAUUGGGCGUAAAGAGCUUGUAGGCGGUUUGUCGCGUCUGCUGUGAAAGGCCGGGGCUUAACCCCGUGUAUUGCAGUGGGUACGGGCAGACUAGAGUGCAGUAGGGGAGACUGGAAUUCCUGGUGUAGCGGUGGAAUGCGCAGAUAUCAGGAGGAACACCGAUGGCGAAGGCAGGUCUCUGGGCUGUAACUGACGCUGAGAAGCGAAAGCAUGGGGAGCGAACAGG